RNAcentral lists this long non-coding RNA (201 nucleotides) under Phoenix dactylifera (date palm). RNAcentral's name for it is "long non-coding RNA (PDAC_LNC000896)". Lineage: Eukaryota; Viridiplantae; Streptophyta; Magnoliopsida; Arecales; Arecaceae. The record is from RNAcentral.
UGUAGGGGAUAGUAUAAAAGCGAAGUAUGUGUAUCCUACCUGUGUGGUAGAGAUAGAAGGUAAAACACUUCCAAUUUAUUUGAUUCCCAAUACCACACCGAGCAGAAUAUGAAGAGCAGAUACACUUACCCCUUUGAGUAAUCAGGUAAUUUACUCUUUUAAAUUCGAGGACGAAUUUUAUAUAAGGGGGGGAGGAUGUAA